CGCCAGAUGCUGAAGCUACUCUAGGCAGGUAAAAACAGAGCCUCUUAAAGGGAUGUUCUAGGGUGAAUUAGAGCUAAUUUUCUGAACUUAAUGAUUGACCUCACUUCAUUGGAGUGUUUUUGUCUGCUUGUAUUGAUAACUGAUGUGCACAAAGAUGUGUGUGGCUUCAACUCCAAACAAGCUAAUAACUCCCACUUCCCAGUCACACCAGAUCUCAAGAAGCUCGUCUUCUUCUACAGUCAUCUCUGACCCAGAACCUGCAAUGAACUGAAACUGGUUUUUAACUAAAUGAAAUAUUCUGACUCGUUUAUUUAAAUUUAGUCCAGUAGAGGGCAUGUGCAACUUUCUAGCAAAAUCAUGCUGUAACACAGCAUGUCUUUUGUUAUUAAACAAAGGAGGUGAGUUUUUAUUGGAUAUAACUAGUCAGUAACUUUAAUAGGAAGAAAUGACAUGAGAUGGACCAAACAGGGAUUGGGGGAGUUUCGUCUUGUGUGUAUGUGGUUACUCUGACAAUAACUCAAACAGAAAUAGUUUCUUCUGCUUUGAGUUGAAGCUUUAUAUGACAGUUUUUGUUACUUAUUCAUAAAACAGAUUCAAGUUUAUUUCACUUCUCUACUUGAACAUUAGUUUCCAAUAAACUUUUCAUCUUGCUGUGAAGGUUUUUUUUUUUUUUUUUUUCAAAGAACCACAAACAGCCACUUCCUUUACUGAGCUCCUUUGCUACAUUAUAAGAUAACAGAGUAUCUUCCUGCUCCUCACAUCAUCAUGUUCAGCCUGAAGCAAGCUGCUCUGCUCUUCAUUCAGCUGUUACUGACAAACUACAUAUCUGCAGGUAUAGAGCCUAUUUUUACUUGUUAUGCAAGAUUCUUAAAUUAAGUUGUCUUGUUAAUAUAUUUUUUCUUCAAUGUCAGCGAUCUCUACAGCAGACCACUACGAUGUGUUGGUGUCCAGAGGAAACUCAGUCCUGCUCACUUGCAAUAUAUCUAAUGAAAAUACAACAAUAAUCCAAUGGACCAAAGACAGAUGUUUUUUUCAUACUCCUUCUCCAAUAAUCGAACUUUUUCAAAUUUCUCCUCUCAUAGACUGAGAAUAGACACAAACAUUCCUUCUACUCUCAGCAUUGAUAGUGCUCAGCUUGAUGAUGCAGGACUUUAUACUUGUCAUAUAACUGAGAAAAAAGGCCUUAACAACAUUACAUGGACCGUAACAGUUCUUGAAAAUCAAAACGGAACCAGUUCAUCACAGUACAUUAUAUUCACACUACCAUCUGCCUUCGGAUUGAUUUUAUGUUUCAUGACUACAGCUCUCUGCCUCCACAGACGCAGCAGGUUAUUGUUUUAUGGUGCCAGUCGUUGGUUAUUAUUUAAUGGCAGCAGGAGGAACACUUCCAGAAACCAAAACCAGGACAGCAGAACAUUUACUACGGUGCAAUACAACAUUCUGGAUGGGAUGAAGGCAGUUCCUUCACCAUUACAAACUACAGCAAUAUGGAGGAGAACUGACAAGCAGGAAGAGGGGGCAGUUCUGAUGACAAGACGAACAACGAGUACGUCACACCAAUCAGGAAAUGACUGACCAAAAUAUAUUUAGUUUACGCCUUGGUUUGAAGGGUUCAUCAAGAAGAAGAUCCAGUUUAAAAGAAGUAAAAAGUGUUAUCCUUAAAACUGGAAAUUCAAACAUGCAAUCUAAUGUAUCUGUAACAUGCAACCUGUUUGCAACUGAAAUGAUUUAUGAUGUUUCCUCUAAAUGUAUUUUUAUGUUAUAAUGUGUCAUAUAUUCAGUAAUGGUACGCUUCAUGUCCCUUUAUGUCCUGAAAAAGCUUUCAAUGCACAUUCAUAAAAUGUUUAUUUUAUUAACAAUAAAUUUAGUUCAAUUAGACUCA
Long non-coding RNA from Poecilia latipinna (sailfin molly), 1882 nucleotides. RefSeq lists it as uncharacterized. The transcript has 4 exons. The record is from RefSeq and is a predicted model, not a curated record. NCBI's taxonomy places the organism in Eukaryota, Metazoa, Chordata, Actinopteri, Cyprinodontiformes, Poeciliidae.